ACAAUAGCAUAUGAACACUGUUUUCUCUACAGUCACUGAAUCACAAGGUCAUUAUCAUGAAAAGCAGCUGGAUCAUCCUCAUCUUGAUGGUACUAGCUACAGGGGUCAACUCUGAAGUCCUGCUGCAGCAGUCAGGCGCUGAGCUUGUGAGACCUGGGUCCUCAGUCAAGAUUUCUUGCAAGGCUUCUGGCUACACCUUUACAGAUUACUAUAUGCACUGGGUGAAGCAGAGGCCUGAACAGGGCCUGGUAUGGAUAGGACGGAUUAAUCCUGCAAAUGGUAAUACUGUAUAUGCAGAGAAGUUCAAAAGCAAGGCCACACUGACUGCAGAUAAAUCGUCCAACACAGCCUACAUGCAACUCAGCAGCCUGACAUCUGAAGACACCGCAACCUAUUUUUGUACUAGACACAGUGUUGCAAUCACAUCCUGA
Rattus norvegicus (Norway rat) is the source of this 431-nucleotide non-coding RNA. Lineage: Eukaryota; Metazoa; Chordata; Mammalia; Rodentia; Muridae. The record is from the annotation of a RefSeq genome assembly.